Phrynosoma platyrhinos (Desert horned lizard) is the source of this 73-nucleotide non-coding RNA. The record is from the annotation of a GenBank genome assembly. NCBI's taxonomy places the organism in Eukaryota, Metazoa, Chordata, Lepidosauria, Squamata, Phrynosomatidae.
GGCCAGGAUGGUGAAGUGGUUUGAGUGUUGGACUAGGAUUCUGGAGACCAGGGUUCAAAUCCCUGCUUGGCCA